GUCUACAGCCAUACCACCCUGAACACGCUCGAUCUCGUCUGAUCUCGGGAGCUAAGCAGGGUUGGGCCUGGUUAGUACUAGGAUGGGAAAAUAGUUACUCAUAAGGAGUUAGUGGGAAUACAAUGGAGAAGAAA
Molecule: non-coding RNA, 134 nt
Organism: Myotis brandtii (Brandt's bat)
Lineage: Eukaryota; Metazoa; Chordata; Mammalia; Chiroptera; Vespertilionidae
Source: Rfam